Molecule: long non-coding RNA, 257 nt
Filed under: Monodelphis domestica (gray short-tailed opossum)
Lineage: Eukaryota; Metazoa; Chordata; Mammalia; Didelphimorphia; Didelphidae
Description: lncRNA (ENSMODG00000031694.2)
Source: RNAcentral
CCCUUCUUCCAUUUGACCAGCCUUCUUGAAGCUGCUACUUCUUUCCAAGUGUUCUCUUCUUCAGGCUGACACCAGAGUUCUCUUAACCAGCCCUCUCUAGCAUCUCCUCUCAUCACGCCGGUCACAUUCUGCUUGGCAUAUCUUUCCUAAGGGUGCCAGAAUUCUCUUCACGUUUCCAACAUUUCAGAAUCAGAGUUUUCAAAAAGAGAGAAUAUAAUCUUGGGGGAAGGAGAACCAAAAACCUUGUAACUGAUUGA